Molecule: ribosomal RNA, 484 nt
Filed under: uncultured bacterium
Lineage: Bacteria
Description: partial 16S ribosomal RNA
Rfam family: Bacterial small subunit ribosomal RNA
Source: RNAcentral
GACGAACGCUGGCGGCGUGCUUAACACAUGCAAGUCGAACGAUGAACCCGGAGCUUGCUCCGGCGGAUUAGUGGCGAACGGGUGAGUAACACGUGAGUAACCUGCCCUUGACUCUGGGAUAACUGCGGGAAACUGUAGCUAGUACCGGAUACGACCCUCGGCGGCAUCGCCAGGGGGUGGAAAGAAUUUCGGUCAAGGAUGGACUCGCGGCCUAUCAGCUAGUUGGGGAGGUAACGGCUCACCAAGGCGAAGACGGGUAGCCGGCCUGAGAGGGUGACCGGCCACACUGGGACUGAGACACGGCCCAGACUCCUACGGGAGGCAGCAGUGGGGAAUAUUGCACAAUGGGCGCAAGCCUGAUGCAGCAACGCCGCGUGAGGGAUGACGGCCUUCGGGUCGUAAACCUCUUUUAGUAGGGAAGAAGCGAAAGUGACGGUACCUGCAGAAAAAGCACCGGCUAACUACGUGCCAGCCGCCGCCGUAA